GACGAACGCUGGCGGCGUGCUUAACACAUGCAAGUCGAACGGAAAGGCCCUGCUUUUGUGGGGUGCUCGAGUGGCGAAAGGGUGAGUAACACGUGAGUAACCUGCCCUUGACUUUGGGAUAACUUCAGGAAACUGGGGCUAAUACCGGAUAGGAGCUCCUGCUACAUGGUGGGGGUUGGAAAGUUUCGGCGGUUGGGGAUGGACUCGCGGCUUAUCAGCUUGUUGGUGGGGUAGUGGCUUACCAAGGCUUUGACGGGUAGCCGGCCUGAGAGGGUGACCGGCCACAUUGGGACUGAGAGACGGCCCAGACUCCUACGGGAGGCAGCAGUGGGGAAUAUUGCACAAUGGGCGGAAGCCUGAUGCAGCAACGCCGCGUGCGGGAUGACGGCCUUCGGGUGGUAAACCGCUUUCGCCUGUGACGAAGCGUGAGUGACGGUAAUGGGUAAAGAAGCACCGGCUAACUACGUG
Molecule: ribosomal RNA, 468 nt
Filed under: uncultured bacterium
Lineage: Bacteria
Description: partial 16S ribosomal RNA
Rfam family: Bacterial small subunit ribosomal RNA
Source: RNAcentral